UGUAAUUAACAAUAGAUGUUAGCAUGUAUUGUUGAGAAACUUGAUGUGUGCUGUCUCAUUUGGCGAUUACACGUUACUUAGUCACACAUUCUACACUUCAGCAGCGCCAAAUUCCCCUUUGGCGACUUUUAGUAUUAAAUUCGUUUUCUUUCGAAAUCGAAACAACAUGUUCUACAUGUUCCACUGUAUACGUUCAUCGAAUUUUGUUACAUUUAGUUCACAGAUGUGCUUAUUCUUCAUCAUUCAAGUUUUUGCGAUUAUUGAAAUUAAUAGUAAUACAAAUUUAGAAUAGUAAGAGAAUGGUCGGCUGGAUUUUUUUUGUCAGCAGAUGACGCCACUUUCCACUCAGUUAGAGUACUAAGUGGCGGGGCGAAACAAGCCC
Molecule: long non-coding RNA, 382 nt
Filed under: Androctonus crassicauda
Lineage: Eukaryota; Metazoa; Arthropoda; Arachnida; Scorpiones; Buthidae
Source: RNAcentral